AGAGGCAUCUUCUGGAGGGGCCCAGCCUAUGUGCCUUGGAACAGGACGUCAUAGAGGGUGAGAAUCCCGUACUUGGCUGGAUGUUCCCUCCAGUAUGUAGUGUCUUCUACGAGUCGAGUUGUUUGGGAAUGCAGCUCAAAAUGGGUGGUAAAUUUCAUCUAAAGCUAAAUAUUGGCGAGAGACCGAUAGCGCACAAGUAGAGUGAUCGAAAGAUGAAAAGCACUUUGAAAAUAGAGUCAAACAGUACGUGAAAUUGUUGAAGGGGAAGCGCUUAGGACCAGACCUGGCCUUUGGUGAACAAUCGCCCACCGGGGCGGUGUACUUUGUCUUGGUCGGGCCAGCAUGGGUUGGGACGGUGGGAUAAAGGCUCGGGAAAUGUGACUCCUUUAUGGAGUGUUAUAGUCCCGGGUGGCAUGCCAUCAGUCCCGACUGUGGAACGCGCACCGGCACGGAUGCUGGCAUAAUGGUCUUCA
RNAcentral lists this ribosomal RNA (473 nucleotides) under Tuber sp. 38. RNAcentral's name for it is "eukaryotic LSU rRNA". It matches the Rfam family "Eukaryotic large subunit ribosomal RNA", at positions 151 to 643 of the family's 3401-position model. The record is from RNAcentral. Lineage: Eukaryota; Fungi; Ascomycota; Pezizomycetes; Pezizales; Tuberaceae.